AGAGUUUGAUCCUGGCUCAGGACAAACGCUGGCGGCGUGCGUAACACAUGCAAGUCGGACGAGCUCACCGAGCUUUCGGGCUGGGGGAGCGAGUGGCGGACGGGUGCGGAACACGUGGAUGACCUACCCUGCCGAGGGGGAUACCCCCCAGAAAUGGGGGCUAAGCCCGCAUACGGUCCUUGGUGUUGGUGCCAAGGAAGAAAGGGGUUCUCGCGAGAGAGCCACCGCGGCAGGAGGGGUCCGCGGCCGAUUAGCUAGUUGGGGGGGUAAAGGCCUCCCAAGGCGACGAUCGGUAGCUGGUCUGAGAGGAUGAUCAGCCACACUGGGAUUGAGAACGGCCCAGACUCCUACGGGGGGCAGCAGUGAGGAAUCUUCGACAAUGGGCGCAAGCCUGAUCGAGCAACGCCGCGUGCGGGAGGACGCCUUUCGGGGUGUAAACCGCUUUUCCCUGGGACGAGAGGCAGGGCAACCUGUGGACGGUACCAGGGGAAGAAGUCUCGGCUAACUACGUGCCAGCAGCCGCGGUAAGACGUAGGAGGCGAGCGUUGUCCGGAGUUACUGGGCGUAAAGGGUGCGCAGGCGGCCCCUUAAGGUGGCGGUGAAAGCUCCUGGCUCAACUGGGAGAGGGCCGUGACGACUGGGGGGCUUGAGGCUCGGAGAGGGACGUGGAAUUCCGGGUGGAGCGGUGAAAUGCGUAGAGAUCCGGAAGAACACCGACGGCGAAGGCAGCGUCCUGGCCGAGCACUGACGCUCAGGCACGAAAGCGCGGGGAGCGAACAGGAUUAGAUACCCUGGUAGUCCGCGCCGUAAACGAUGUCCACCAGGUGCCGGGGGUAUCGACCCCCUCGGUGCCGCAGCUCACGUGAUGAGUGGACCGCCUGGGGAGUACGGCCGCAAGGUUAAAACUCAAAGGAAUUGACGG
Molecule: ribosomal RNA, 922 nt
Filed under: uncultured bacterium
Lineage: Bacteria
Description: bacterial SSU rRNA
Rfam family: Bacterial small subunit ribosomal RNA
Source: RNAcentral